Molecule: long non-coding RNA, 473 nt
Filed under: Phasianus colchicus (ring-necked pheasant)
Lineage: Eukaryota; Metazoa; Chordata; Aves; Galliformes; Phasianidae
Description: lncRNA (ENSPCLG00000002308.1)
Source: RNAcentral
UAUCACUGUUGCUUACUAACCCCUAGUACUUUCAUAGUACUUUCACUGUGUGGAGUUGAGUGUAGCCAUAUUGUCACUUUAUGUCAAAGAUGUCUAAGUUACCUUUCCUAUCUUUGAGCACUGUGCUCUCAGGAAGCCUCGUUUUCCACUGUGGAUGUUUCUCAUCAUGACUCAUCAAUUGACUGAGCAAAAUGAUGUCAACUUACAAAGUGACAACAGAAAACAGUAACUUUCUGCUUUUGCAUCUGGCGCUUGUUUUCCACAUUGCCAAGUAUAUGCACUUCUGCAUGAUGGUCCAGAGAACAUUAAAUGCCGCUAUGACAUCAGCCAGUUAACUUUAUUGUGCUGUCCUCAAAACCAUAAAUGAACUGGAUUCCAGCUGUAGACGGACCUGCAACCUUAAAUAUGCUGCUGCUUUAUGGCAGCAAAAAAGAAAAAUAUUUGAAGUAUCUGUUGAAAAUAAAUGACAAUCA